GACGAACGCUGGCGGCGUGCUUAACACAUGCAAGUCGAACGGAAAGGCCCUGCUUUUGUGGGGUGCUCGAGUGGCGAACGGGUGAGUAACACGUGAGUAACCUGCCCUUGACUUUGGGAUAACUUCAGGAAACUGGGGCUAAUACCGGAUAGGAUCUCCUGCUGCAUGGUGGUGGUUGGAAAGUUUCGGCGGUUGGGGAUGGACUCGCGGCUUAUCAGCUUGUUGGUGGGGUAGUGGCUUACCAAGGCUUUGACGGGUAGCCGGCCUGAGAGGGUGACCGGCCACAUUGGGACUGAGAUACGGCCCAGACUCCUACGGGAGGCAGCAGGGGGGAAUAUGGCACAAUGGGCGGAAGCCUGAUGCAGCAACGCCGCGUGCGGGAUGACGGCCUUCGGGUGGUAAACCGCUUUCGCAUGUGACGAAGCGUGAGUGACGGUAAUGGGUAAAGAAGCACCGGCUAACUACGUG
This 468-nucleotide ribosomal RNA is filed under the name uncultured bacterium. Its description in RNAcentral is "partial 16S ribosomal RNA". It matches the Rfam family "Bacterial small subunit ribosomal RNA", at positions 28 to 507 of the family's 1533-position model. The record is from RNAcentral.